CCUUAAUGCCUGGUUGGGUCGAUGGUACCCAAAAGAAUAAGCACCGGCUAACUUCGUGUCAGCAGCCGCGGUAAUACGAAGGGUGCAAGCGUUACUCGGAUUUACUGGGCGUAAAGCGUGCGUAGGUGGCUAUUUAAGUCCGUUGUGAAAGCCCUGGGCUCAACCUGGGAACUGCAGUGGAUACUGGAUGACUAGAAUGUGGUAGAGGGUAGCGGAAUUCCUGGUGUAGCAGUGAAAUGCGUAGAGAUCAGGAGGAAGAUCCAUGGCGAAGGCAGCUACCUGGACCAACAUUGACACUGAGGCACGAAAGCGUGGGGAGCAAACAGG
Molecule: ribosomal RNA, 327 nt
Filed under: uncultured Stenotrophomonas sp.
Lineage: Bacteria; Pseudomonadati; Pseudomonadota; Gammaproteobacteria; Lysobacterales; Lysobacteraceae
Description: bacterial SSU rRNA
Rfam family: Bacterial small subunit ribosomal RNA
Source: RNAcentral